UACGUAGGGGGCAAGCGUUGUCCGGAUUUACUGGGCGUAAAGAGCGUGUAGGCGGCCAUACAGGUCCGUUGUGAAAACUGGAGGCUCAACUUCCAGACGUCGACGGAAACCGUGUGGCUAGAGUCCGGAAGAGGAGAGUGGAAUUCCUGGUGUAGCGGUGAAAUGCGCAGAUAUCAGGAAGAACACCUAUGGCGAAGGCAGCACUCUGGGACGGUACUGACGCUGAGACGCGAAAGCGUGGGGAGCGAACAGG
Molecule: ribosomal RNA, 253 nt
Filed under: uncultured bacterium
Lineage: Bacteria
Description: partial 16S ribosomal RNA
Rfam family: Bacterial small subunit ribosomal RNA
Source: RNAcentral